Molecule: non-coding RNA, 114 nt
Organism: Gossypium arboreum
Lineage: Eukaryota; Viridiplantae; Streptophyta; Magnoliopsida; Malvales; Malvaceae
Source: Rfam
UGUUAAAAAUUUCAUUCAUUCCUAUUGUUAAAAAUUAGCAUGACAUGUCACGUGUAUCUCACGGUACUAUAUAAGUACCAACUUUUAACAAAAAAAUAAAUAAAAUUUUUAACA